GAUGAACGCUGGCGGCGUGCCUAGUACAUGCAAGUCGAGCGAACAGACGAGGAGCUUGCUCCUCUGACGUUAGCGGCGGACGGGUGAGUAACACGUGGAUAACCUACCUAUAAGACUGGGAUAACUUCGGGAAACCGGAGCUAAUACCGGAUAAUAUAUUGAACCGCAUGGUUCAAUAGUGAAAGACGGUUUUGCUGUCACUUAUAGAUGGAUCCGCGCCGCAUUAGCUAGUUGGUAAGGUAACGGCUUACCAAGGCAACGAUGCGUAGCCGACCUGAGAGGGUGAUCGGCCACACUGGAACUGAGACACGGUCCAGACUCCUACGGGAGGCAGCAGUAGGGAAUCUUCCGCAAUGGGCGAAAGCCUGACGGAGCAACGCCGCGUGAGUGAUGAAGGUCCUCGGAUCGUAAAACUCUGUUAUUAGGGAAGAACAAAUGUGUAAGUAACUAUGCACGUCUUGACGGUACCUAAUCAGAAAGCCACGGCUAACUACGUG
RNAcentral lists this ribosomal RNA (497 nucleotides) under uncultured bacterium. Its description in RNAcentral is "partial 16S ribosomal RNA". It matches the Rfam family "Bacterial small subunit ribosomal RNA", at positions 28 to 507 of the family's 1533-position model. The record is from RNAcentral.